Hyla sarda is the source of this 391-nucleotide long non-coding RNA. RefSeq lists it as uncharacterized. The transcript is spliced from 3 exons. NCBI's taxonomy places the organism in Eukaryota, Metazoa, Chordata, Amphibia, Anura, Hylidae. The record is from RefSeq and is a predicted model, not a curated record.
GACCAUAACGCUGCAGAUCGCCGGAGUUCCCUGCCGCUGGACCUUCCGUGAUCAGACAUGUUAUCCCCUAUAUAGGGGCAGAGUACCUCUUUAAGUUUAUCCAGACCCAACACUUUACUGCCUUCAUCAGAAGACCAAGGUUUAAUCCACAAGGCUUUGAGUUAAGUUGCGGCUGGCCACCUUCUUUCAACAAGAAAGAACUCCACUGAAUAGGAGCUGAGGCAGUAUUAAUGUUGCUGAAGGUCAAAGAUUGCCAGACUUCAUUCUGCUGCUGUCAGGGCAUGUAUAUCGGAGAAGAUCCAAAGCAUCAACACCUUUCAAAGCCCGUCCUUUCAAACCUCAUUUUAUCUCUUCUGUUGAUAAACUAGUGUGCAGCAUAUUUAAUGUACAU